Molecule: long non-coding RNA, 921 nt
Filed under: Volvox carteri
Lineage: Eukaryota; Viridiplantae; Chlorophyta; Chlorophyceae; Chlamydomonadales; Volvocaceae
Description: long non-coding RNA (VCAR_LNC002118)
Source: RNAcentral
UGGCUUUUACACGAAGUGCAUGUGUCAGACACUUCCGAAUAACAUCCCCUCAGCGUGUUGCAUACUAUGCGUAAUGCGAGAUGAGAAGUGCACCAGGUAGGAAACGGCUUUGGCGCACGAAUGAAGCAAAAAAUCCAAAAUUGUGUUUCCUAACUAGGGCGACUCUCGAGGCGGGGCCAGCUGAUUCCUAAUUACGUUGCCGUGUGUUACGCAUCACCACCAGAAGGAAGGACAAAUAUUCUUCCAAGCCGCACGCGCUCUGGAUGCAAUCUAGACGUGGAAUCGGGUGUAGAUGGAGAGCCGCGCGGGCCCUUAACGGUGCUUGAUCACUUAAGUCUCCGUCCUCCAUGCAGCAAUUGCUGGUUGAAGGUGCUGAAGGAGAAUUCUCACCAUUCCGUUGCCCUUGUUUAGCCGCUUUCCGUUGCUUUUGAAACGCGAACCGAAGUAGGCGCAGGCACCAGCGAGCUUCCCGCUGACUCAGCCCUUUUCAAAUCGGAAUUGCAUUGUUGCAGCAUCGACGUGGCAUGUCUGCCGCAGCAUCUUAUCUGUAUGUCCAAUAACCCUUCGUUGGACAAGCCUUAUUAGAUCAACAUGUUGACAAAAAAAGGCGGCGAGCAGUAAGUUCCGAGCAACAGCCAAUCGAUGACGAAACCCCGGUAUUGUACGUCACAUUCUCGUCAGCGUACCAUAGGCCGUCAGACAAUUGAGGAGCGGGAUUGGAACCAAACGUUGGCAAGGAUGUCGAUGAAGGAAUUAUUACGUGCUAUGCUGCUGGGUGCAGGCCGCGAAGGCGUCAAUGGUUCUUGAGUGUAGUAUGACUCAGAGGACGCUUCAGGCAACGGUAAAGCGCGUGCCACUUGUGUGCGGCACGUUUGGCGCAAUACGAGGCAUAAUUUGUCUGUAUCCUGGAAGGAAUAUGGG